AUUGAACGCUGGCGGCAUGCUUUACACAUGCAAGUCGAACGGCAGCGCGGGCUUCGGCCUGGCGGCGAGUGGCGAACGGGUGAGUAAUGCAUCGGAACGUGCCCAGUAGUGGGGGAUAGCCCGGCGAAAGCCGGAUUAAUACCGAAUACGACCAGAGGGUGAAAGCGGGGGACCGAAAGGCCUAGCGCGUUUGGAGCGGCCGAAGUCGGAUUAGCUAGUUGGUGGGGUAAAGGCUUACCAAGGCGACGAUCCGUAGCUGGUCUGAGAGGACGACCAGCCACACUGGGACUGAGACACGGCCCAGACUCCUACGGGAGGCAGCAGUGGGGAAUUUUGGACAAAGGGGGCAACCCUGAUCCAGCCAUGCCGCGUGCGGGAAGAAGGCCUUCGGGUUGUAAACCGCUUUUGUUCGGGAAGAAAUCCUCUGGGCCAAUCCCCCGGGGGGAUGACGGUACCGGAAGAAUAAGCACCGGCUAACUACGUG
RNAcentral lists this ribosomal RNA (484 nucleotides) under uncultured bacterium. RNAcentral describes it as "partial 16S ribosomal RNA". It matches the Rfam family "Bacterial small subunit ribosomal RNA", at positions 29 to 507 of the family's 1533-position model. The record is from RNAcentral.